GGGUCAGUAGGUUGGUCGUGCCACCGGUACGUACUGGUCUCACUGAUUCCUCCUUCCUGAAGAACCGUAAUGCCAUUAAUUUGGUGUUGCGGGGAAACAGGACUGCUACUUUGAAAAAAUUAGAGUGUUUAAAGCAAGCUAACGCUUGGAUACAUUAGCAUGGAAUAAUGAAAUAGGACGAUCGAUCCUAUUUUGUUGGUUUCUAGGAUUGACGUA
This 216-nucleotide ribosomal RNA is filed under the name Glomeromycotina sp. Its description in RNAcentral is "partial small subunit ribosomal RNA". The stretch from base 40 to 216 matches the Rfam family "Eukaryotic small subunit ribosomal RNA", at positions 686 to 864 of the family's 1831-position model. Lineage: Eukaryota; Fungi; Glomeromycota. The record is from RNAcentral.